GCAGUGGUGGUUCAGCAGUAGAAUUCUCAUCUCCCAUGCGGGAGACCGGGGUUUGAUUCCCAGACAAUGCA
RNAcentral lists this transfer RNA (71 nucleotides) under Loxodonta africana (African savanna elephant). It matches the Rfam family "tRNA". Rfam says of the family: Transfer RNA (tRNA) molecules are approximately 80 nucleotides in length. Their secondary structure includes four short double-helical elements and three loops (D, anti-codon, and T loops). Further hydrogen bonds mediate the characteristic L-shaped molecular structure. tRNAs have two regions of fundamental functional importance: the anti-codon, which is responsible for specific mRNA codon recognition, and the 3' end, to which the tRNAs corresponding amino acid is attached (by aminoacyl-tRNA synthetases). tRNAs cope with the degeneracy of the genetic code in two manners: having more than one tRNA (with a specific anti-codon) for a particular amino acid; and 'wobble' base-pairing, i.e. permitting non-standard base-pairing at the 3rd anti-codon position. Lineage: Eukaryota; Metazoa; Chordata; Mammalia; Proboscidea; Elephantidae. The record is from Rfam by way of RNAcentral.